This 449-nucleotide ribosomal RNA is filed under the name uncultured bacterium. RNAcentral describes it as "bacterial SSU rRNA". It matches the Rfam family "Bacterial small subunit ribosomal RNA", at positions 354 to 796 of the family's 1533-position model. The record is from RNAcentral.
GUCGAGAAUUUUUCACAAUGGGCGAAAGCCUGAUGGAGCGACGCCGCGUGGGGGAUGAAUGGCUUCGGCCCGUAAACCCCUGUCAUUUGCGAGCAAUGCUGUCCCGAUAAUACCGGGACAGUUGAUAGUAGCGAAAGAGGAAGGGACGGCUAACUCUGUGCCAGCAGCCGCGGUAAUACAGAGGUCCCGAGCGUUGUUCGGAUUCACUGGGCGUAAAGGGUGCGUAGGUGGCAGGAUCAGUUCAAUGUGAAAUCUCCGGGCUCAACCCGGAAACUGCAUAGAAUACUGUUCUGCUAGAGGUUUGGAGGGGGGACUGGAAUUCUCGGUGUAGCAGUGAAAUGCGUAGAUAUCGAGAGGAACACCAGUGGCGAAGGCGAGUCCCUGGACAAAACCUGACGCUGAGGCACGAAAGCUAGGGGAGCAAACAGGAUUAGAUACCCCGGUAGUCC